Molecule: ribosomal RNA, 385 nt
Filed under: uncultured bacterium
Lineage: Bacteria
Description: bacterial SSU rRNA
Rfam family: Bacterial small subunit ribosomal RNA
Source: RNAcentral
AUUGAACGCUGGCGGCAUGCCUUACAUAUGCAAGUCGAACGGCAGCACGGGGCAACCUGGUGGCGAGUGGCGAACGGGUGAGUAAUGCAUCGGAACGUGCCAUUGAGUGGGGGAUAACGUAGCGAAAGUUGCGCUAAUACCGCAUAUUCUGUGAGCAGGAAAGCAGGGGACCGCAAGGCCUUGCGCUCUUUGAGCGGCCGAUGUCAGAUUAGCUAGUUGGUGAGGUAACGGCUUACCAAGGCGACGAUCUGUAGCGGGUCUGAGAGGAUGAUCCGCCACACUGGAACUGAGACACGGUCCAGACUCCUACGGGAGGCAGCAGUGGGGAAUUUUGGACAAUGGGCGCAAGCCUGAUCCAGCCAUGCCGCGUGAGUGAAGAAGGCCU